GAUGAACGCUGGCGGCGUGCCUAAUACAUGCAAGUCGAGCGAACAGACGAGGAGCUUGCUCCUCUGACGUUAGCGGCGGACGGGUGAGUAACACGUGGAUAACCUACCUAUAAGACUGGGAUAACUUCGGGAAACCGGAGCUAAUACCGGAUAAUAUAUUGAACCGCAUGGUUCAAUAGUGAAAGACGGUUUUGCUGUCACUUAUAGAUGGAUCCGCGCCGCAUUAGCUAGUUGGUAAGGUAACGGCUUACCAAGGCGACGAUGCGUAGCCGACCUGAGAGGGUGAUCGGCCACACUGGAACUGAGACACGGUCCAGGCUCCUACGGGAGGCAGCAGUAGGGAAUCUUCCGCAGUGGGCGAAAGCCUGACGGAGCAACGCCGCGUGAGUGAUGAAGGUCUUCGGAUCGUAAAACUCUGUUAUUAGGGAAGAACAAAUGUGUAAUUAACUAAGCACGUCUUGACGGUACCUAAUCAGAAAGCCCCGGCUAACUACGUG
Molecule: ribosomal RNA, 497 nt
Filed under: uncultured bacterium
Lineage: Bacteria
Description: partial 16S ribosomal RNA
Rfam family: Bacterial small subunit ribosomal RNA
Source: RNAcentral